GGAAUCUUCCACAAUGGACGCAAGUCUGAUGGAGCAACGCCGCGUGAGUGAAGAAGGUCUUCGGAUCGUAAAACUCUGUUGUUAGAGAAGAACACGAGUGAGAGUAACUGUUCAUUCGAUGACGGUAUCUAACCAGCAAGUCACGGCUAACUACGUGGCAG
This 161-nucleotide ribosomal RNA is filed under the name uncultured bacterium. Its description in RNAcentral is "partial 16S rRNA". It matches the Rfam family "Bacterial small subunit ribosomal RNA", at positions 358 to 511 of the family's 1533-position model. The record is from RNAcentral.